AAAAAAAUCCAUUUGGUCUAAUUUAAUCAAAUGUAAUACAAUUUAAAAACAAAAAAAAAGAUUAAUUAACUGAUUUUUUUUUUUACAAAAUAUUUUGUUAAUACUAAAGCUGCAUGUCAUGCUGAAGGAGUUACUGGGCAUUAUGAUGAUAUUUGACUAUGCUAAUCCAUUAGACACUUUUCCUUACAUGUGACUUUAUAAGCCAAGAUUUAAAGAAGACAAAGAUUGGUAGAAGAAAACUGGACAUCAUUUUUUAAACUAGCAUGCCAGUGUUCAUUUCAAUCUUGAGCAGAGUUGAACAGUUUGACGUUUUGCCAAUCUAUUCUAUGUGAACAACUAAGUUGUAUCUGAAUAUAAAACAAUUGUUUUACAUGUUAAUUUUUUUCAUAGACAAGUUACCAUUUUUUAAGGCAUUUCUUUUUCAAUGUUACCAUUUGUAUAAUACUGUACAUAUGUAUAUUGUAAACAAUUCUUAAAGCUUUGAGUGUGUAGAGAUGUAUGACAAAUGUCUGUGUUAGUUAUAAGAUGUUAGGUGUGUGUUUCAUUUCUGUCAUUGAUUUUUGUAUUUUGCUUUGACAUUCUAUUCAGUCAGUUAUGGUAGGAGUAAGACUUAAUAAAAUUAAUUAUUUGAAAUUAUGGUUUAUGUUUUGACUUCACUGAAAACAAAAAUUACCAGCAUAUAUAAGAAUGAAGGAUUCAUAUUUUACUUUGUAUUCAUUUUUUUUUUUUUUUUUGCAAAACCAAGACAUUGUUUGUCAAUUUUUUAAAUGGUGGAUAAUAGAUUUAUUUGUACAAUUCUCUCUUGUGUAUGUUUCAGGCAAUAGAAAGAGAAACUGUCAUCAAAAGGUUUUCUCUAUCAAGUAUAUUUUUUAUAUUCUUUCCAUUUUAUUUAUUGAGAGCAAAAAUGUUGAGAUGAACAGCCUGAUAUCAUUGUUUUCCACUUCCUGCUCUAAGAGCUGAAACUGUAUCAUCAGAGUCAAAAGCAGUGCAUAUCAUAUUCCUGUUCUAAUUGAUCUAUGUUAUUCAAAAAUAUAUAUAUAUAAGUGCAGAUUUGAAAUUAGGAUAUUUAAUUUAGGAGCUGCAAGUGCAAGACUUAUGAGAAAAAAAAAAAAAAAAAAAGGUACCCCCUUUCAGACCUUUGUGAUAAGUAGUGCAGGUGAUUUAAGGGUGAUCUGUUACAAUGACUAAUGCAUAAUGAGGGUGUCAGAUGGCAAACACAUUGAUUGACCACCUUUACUUCCCUAAUGUAGGUCAGGUACUUAUUAGUGUAGGGUGGACUCAGGAGCAUCCUAAAACUCUAGAACUUUAUUGAUUCAAACUUAAGACCCUGAGCUUUUUGUUUUGUCUGCCAUGGUUUUUC
Molecule: non-coding RNA, 1360 nt
Organism: Biomphalaria pfeifferi
Lineage: Eukaryota; Metazoa; Mollusca; Gastropoda; Planorbidae
Source: the annotation of a GenBank genome assembly